GCACUUCUGACGAAUCCCAAACAGGACGAAACAGCUGUCCAGUGC
This 45-nucleotide non-coding RNA is filed under the name Echinostoma caproni. Lineage: Eukaryota; Metazoa; Platyhelminthes; Trematoda; Plagiorchiida; Echinostomatidae. The record is from RNAcentral.